CCUACGGGUGGCAGCAGUGGGGAAUAUUGGACAAUGGGCGCAAGCCUGAUCCAGCCAUGCCGCGUGGAUGAUGAAGGCCUUUGGGUUGUAAAGUCCUUUCAGCGGGGAAGAUAAUGACGGUACCCGCAGAAGAAGCCCCGGCUAACUUCGUGCCAGCAGCCGCGGUAAUACGAAGGGGGCUAGCGUUGCUCGGAAUUACUGGGCGUAAAGCGUACGUAGGCGGAUCCUUAAGUCGGUGGUGAAAUCCUGAAGCUCAACUUCAGAACUGCCUUCGAUACUGAGGACCUUGAGUUCGGGAGAGGUGAGUGGAACUGCGAGUGUAGAGGUGAAAUUCGUAGAUAUUCGCAAGAACACCAGUGGCGAAGGCGGCUCACUGGCCCGAUACUGACGCUGAGGUACGAAAGCGUGGGGAGCAAACAGGAUUAGAUACCCCUGUAGUC
This 440-nucleotide ribosomal RNA is filed under the name uncultured bacterium. RNAcentral's name for it is "bacterial SSU rRNA". It matches the Rfam family "Bacterial small subunit ribosomal RNA", at positions 338 to 795 of the family's 1533-position model. The record is from RNAcentral.